GUGCUUAACACAUGCAAGUCGAGCGGUGAAGCCCUUUCGGGGGUGGAUCAGCGGCGAACGGGUGAGUAACACGUGGGCAACCUGCCCCUAACACUGGGAUAACUCCGGGAAACCGGGGCUAAUACCGGAUACGACUUCGGACGGCAUCGUCUGUGGUGGAAAGUUCCGGCGGUUAGGGAUGGGCCCGCGGCCUAUCAGCUUGUUGGUGGGGUAAUGGCCCACCAAGGCGACGACGGGUAGCCGGCCUGAGAGGGCGACCCGCCACACUGGGACUGAGACACGGCCCAGACUCCUACGGGAGGCAGCAGUGGGGAAUAUUGCGCAAUGGGCGAAAGCCUGACGCAGCGACGCCGCGUGAGGGAUGAAGGCCUUCGGGUUGUAAACCUCUUUCAGCAGGGACGAAGCGAAAGUGACGGUACCUGCAGAAGAAGCACCGGCUAACUACGUGCCAGCAGCCGCGGUAAUACGUAGGGUGCAAGCGUUGUCCGGAUUUAUUGGGCGUAAAGAGCUCGUAGGCGGUCUGUCGCGUC
RNAcentral lists this ribosomal RNA (530 nucleotides) under uncultured bacterium. Its description in RNAcentral is "bacterial SSU rRNA". It matches the Rfam family "Bacterial small subunit ribosomal RNA", at positions 44 to 589 of the family's 1533-position model. The record is from RNAcentral.